AUGGUGGUUUCUGACUCGGAAGCCGAUAUAUCUAUCGGUGACCUCCAUACCUACACAUUACUACGUGGGAUAUCUUCUCGUUUGGUGGUUUACAUAGUCAGACCUUCAAGGUACUAGAUCUGUGUGGUACGCACCAUAAUCGGUGUUGACAAAAUUGAGGACAAAAGUUUUACCGUUCCGAUUUGAGGCUAUUUCGGACGUUGAUAUGUACAAAGUUGAGCCUUGAGAUUUUCCAGGUGAGUUCGGUUGUUUGUGUUGAAUUUUGUGUUAAUAUUAGUUUUGUUUGGUUUAAUUGAAGCGAGAUCUUAAUUGUUGAUUUUAUGUUUCAGUGUGGGUGCAUGAAUGGCAGGGUAUUUAUAUUUGGGGUCUUUUAAUAAAGAAAUUUGUUUAAUGAAAAUUAAAUGGACCAAACUACCCCUGCAGAUAAAGACAAAAAAGGAACCUUAAAACACUUAAAAAAGAGAGAUUUUGAGUUUUGAACUAAAAUGGGAAAAAAAAUGCAAACCACAGGACCCAGAUUUAAAAAGUUUGAGAUUUGGACUAAAAUGACAAAACUACCCAAACCACAGGGACCAAAAUGGCAGUUUACUCCAAUCUUUAUAUAUACUAGUUUAUACUGACGUCGCGCGUUACGACGAAACCGAGCAAAUGAUAAUGUAAAACAAACGUGAUUUGAAAAUAAAGCAUAUUGUUUAGUCCAAACCAUUAGAACGGCUUAGUUUAUCAUCGUAGCGUUUUAUGAUAC
RNAcentral lists this long non-coding RNA (745 nucleotides) under Helianthus annuus (common sunflower). Lineage: Eukaryota; Viridiplantae; Streptophyta; Magnoliopsida; Asterales; Asteraceae. The record is from RNAcentral.